RNAcentral lists this long non-coding RNA (2208 nucleotides) under Homo sapiens (human). RNAcentral's name for it is "HSALNT0274056". Lineage: Eukaryota; Metazoa; Chordata; Mammalia; Primates; Hominidae. The record is from RNAcentral.
GGCCAGUGCAGCUGAUCAUUCCUGUCUGGACUUUCUUCUGUGAACAGUGAUCCAGUCUCAAGGGUCUGCACUAACUGGCCACUCGCUCUGGCAAGAGUGGUCCCCCGUGGUGUCCCUGUACCUAGGGAAGUGAUUGGAAACUACUGGGAAGGAAGGGACACCAGAAAGUAGGGUGGGGGCCAAUUUCACCUGCCUUGAAAGCAUUCUCGGGGUCAGCACCACGGGCAGCUCCUGCCAGAUCCUGUGGAUCCCUUGUGAAGUCCACGCUGGCCCGGACGAUGCAGAAUUUCCAGCUGCUGAAAUUUAUCAGGACCAGACAGUUCUCGGUGGCCCUGGCUACAUUUGGGGUGCUCCCCUCUGCUCUCCUGGACAGAGGAUUGGAAGCUGCUGUGGUUUGUGAAUACGGUCCUCCAUCACCAGUCUCUCCAGGCCAUCUCUGAUCUUCAAAGCAAUGGACAAACAUUACAGUGUGAUUUUGCGGUAGAUAAGUCCAAAGAAUCCCUGCACCGUCUGGCACGGAGGCUGAGGCUGGGGUCAUUAUAGUGGUGAUGGGUGACUGGUGUGUUAAUUGACAAGUACUAUUCAUCAGAGCUGCAGACUCUUACCUGGAAAGGUGCCCUCUGUGGCGGGCAGGGGGAUUCCUCCUGGUGCGCCUGCAGGUCUGUUUCCAGGCACUCUAAUGCCAGUGGUUCUGCUGCUUGGAUCGUGCAAGUGUGAGUCCUGACCAGGGCUCGUAGGAAGUAAUUAUUCAACAUCUGCACAGCUAUCUGUCAGUCCGUGGGUCAGCUGGCCUCUGGACAUUGCUGUCUGACCCCAUUUUCCACUAAUGAAUAUGUCAGUGAUGUGUGGAGACAUUCAAGGAUCAUUUUCCGAUUUUGAAAGCUUUAGAUGUUUAAUAAGGAUUUUCAGCAGUUUGAAAAGAUUUAGCCAGCACAGUGGAGUCCAACAGCUCCCGUCAUCUGCCUCACUGGCCCAUAAGCACAGAUCACAGCUUGUCAGGGUGUCUUGAUGCUCCCCCAGCCACAAUGAGGGUGCUUCCAAAGCAGGACCAAUCAGACAACCCACAGCACCUAGCCCAGUGCUUAUUUCUCUUUCCUUUCAUUGCAAUUUUUGUUAAUACUGAUUAAUUCUCAAGAGAAAGUUCCUCUGGAAAGAAUAGUCCCAGAAAUGUCAGGCAUAAAAGCUGGAAUGGUUAUGUUGAUGGCAGGUGUCUGAUGUAUUAAUUGUGAAGUGAAAAGUAUCAUAGCCGCUGACUCAUCUUCUGCAGAGUCUUUGUGGUUCCUCUGUGACUGUGAAACUCUCCCAUCCCGGGCAGAGAGCGAAGGACAUGCUAAAUGAUGCGGGGCCACAGGGGAGCCCCAACCCUCCUGAAAUUGAGAUGGUUAGUUAGGGCAUAGCCAGCAUCUCCUCUCUAUUCCUUAAACUGUUGAUUGGAUCAGGUGGUGAACUGAGCUUGCAAGAAAGCAAGAGCUUCCUUGAUUGUACAACGUCACCUGGCCUCCUGGGCCCGAGUCUUCUCACCUCUCAAGCAGGGGAGCUGCCUUCGGUUAUCUCUACAAUCCCUUGUGGCACCCACAUCCUGUGAUUUUGAUGUGGCCCCUGGACCCACGGACAUGUCUAUGUCAGCAAAUUGUGUUUCUCCUGAACCGCUGGUCUGCACGCAUCUGGGAUGGCCAUGACUGUUGGUUGAAUGUGUGUCUGUUUUCUCACUGGAUGUGGGAAAGCUCGGAGCUGGGAGCUCACAGCGCACGCCAUGGUAUGGACAAACCUCAGCCCUGGCUUUGUCUAGCUUUUCCACCUUUACUCUCCCUUUGACCCAGCUUUCUUACAUUCUCUUCUUGAAAUUUAAAAUGGAUUAAUUUAUGUUUUGAGUAAGUAAUGCAUUUAUAUGCUUCAUACAUUUAAACAUUAUGAAAUGGUCGUGUUUGAAAAGACUCCCUCCCAUUUCUGUUCCAUUCUCCUGGCUCCCACUCCCAACACCCACCGGUAACCAUGGUUAGAAGUUUCUAGACACUCUCCCUUCCAGGGAACCUUUAGGCAUACACAUGUAUAGAAAUACAUAUUGUGCACAUGUAUUUACAGACAGUUAUGUGUUUCUCUCCCCUUCCCCCACAAGUAUAUCAUGCCAUACACAUCGUUCUGCAACUUAUUUUUUUCAUUUAUCAAUAAAUCUUGCAUAUUUUUUCAAAUCAAUAUAUAAAAUUCUCC